ACAUUAGCAUUGGGUGGAUUCUAUUAGAUAGUUGUCUAGAGCCCUAGAGGUCAGAGAACAUAUCACUUGUAAUACCCCUCGUCCUUUUCCAUCACCGGUUUAGGGUUAGGGAUGCUACAGCAAUUAACAAGUCAAGAAUAUACAACUUCAAGUCAAAAUUCAAUUUAAACAAUCAUUAAUAUAUAAACAUUCGAUAAUCAUGCUAAUCAUACAAAAACAAGACUUAAAUCAAACCUAUGAAACUCUAG
This 248-nucleotide long non-coding RNA is filed under the name Gossypium raimondii (Peruvian cotton). RNAcentral's name for it is "long non-coding RNA (GRAI_LNC003218)". The record is from RNAcentral. Lineage: Eukaryota; Viridiplantae; Streptophyta; Magnoliopsida; Malvales; Malvaceae.